GACGAACGCUGGCGGCGUGCUUAACACACGCAAGUCGAACGGAAAGGCCCUGCGUUUGUGGGGUGCUCGAGUGGCGAACGGGUGAGUAACACGUGAGUAACCUGCCCUUGACUUUGGGAUAACUUCAGGAAACUGGGGCUAAUACCGGAUAGGAGCUCCUGCUGCAUGGUGGGGGUUGGAAAGUUUCGGCGGUUGGGGAUGGAAUCGCGGCUUAUCAGCUUGUUGGUGGGGUAGUGGCUUACCAAGGCUUUGACGGGUAGCCGGCCUGAGAGGGUGACCGGCCACAUUGGGACUGAGAUACGGCCCAGACUCCUACGUGAGGCAGCAGUGGGGAAUAUUGCACAAUGGGCGGAAGCCUGAUGCAGCAACGCCGCGUGCGGGAUGACGGCCUUCGGGUUGUAAACCGCUUUCGCCUGUGACGAAGCGUUAGUGACGGUAAUGGGUAAAGAAGCACCGGCUAACUACGUG
Molecule: ribosomal RNA, 468 nt
Filed under: uncultured bacterium
Lineage: Bacteria
Description: partial 16S ribosomal RNA
Rfam family: Bacterial small subunit ribosomal RNA
Source: RNAcentral